UAGCUCAGUCAGUUGAGCAUAGCGCUAGCAACACUAAGGUCGCGGGUUCGAUUCCCGU
Molecule: transfer RNA, 58 nt
Filed under: Apaloderma vittatum (bar-tailed trogon)
Lineage: Eukaryota; Metazoa; Chordata; Aves; Trogoniformes; Trogonidae
Rfam family: tRNA
About the family: Transfer RNA (tRNA) molecules are approximately 80 nucleotides in length. Their secondary structure includes four short double-helical elements and three loops (D, anti-codon, and T loops). Further hydrogen bonds mediate the characteristic L-shaped molecular structure. tRNAs have two regions of fundamental functional importance: the anti-codon, which is responsible for specific mRNA codon recognition, and the 3' end, to which the tRNAs corresponding amino acid is attached (by aminoacyl-tRNA synthetases). tRNAs cope with the degeneracy of the genetic code in two manners: having more than one tRNA (with a specific anti-codon) for a particular amino acid; and 'wobble' base-pairing, i.e. permitting non-standard base-pairing at the 3rd anti-codon position.
Source: Rfam by way of RNAcentral